CUAGGCUUCCUUGCGAUCAGACGGUAGCUCAUCUAAUCUUAAAUACUUGAGCAAAGGAUCAAUCAAACUGGAUUCCUCAUCAACUUGCUGGACAACAAGAAGCUCUUCAAGGCUCAAGAUUUUUAACACCUCGAAAUAGGUCCCUUUUUCUAAGUCAAUGGGUAAUAAGGCUGCUAAUUUUGACAGUGCAUCUGCCCUGGUGUUUUUUGCUCUAGAGAUCUGUUGAAUAUUAAAAUUUAAAAAGGAUAAGGUUAAAUCCUUUACCUUUUGAAGGUAUCUCUUCAUAUUUUUCUCUCGAACUUUAUAUCUAUCCUUGAUUUGUCCAACUACCAAUUGAGAGUCACUAAAGACCUUCAAG
This 358-nucleotide long non-coding RNA is filed under the name Elaeis guineensis (African oil palm). Its description in RNAcentral is "long non-coding RNA (EGUI_LNC003459)". The record is from RNAcentral. Lineage: Eukaryota; Viridiplantae; Streptophyta; Magnoliopsida; Arecales; Arecaceae.